RNAcentral lists this transfer RNA (98 nucleotides) under Marinobacter sp. JH2. RNAcentral's name for it is "tRNA-Cys". The record is from RNAcentral. Lineage: Bacteria; Pseudomonadati; Pseudomonadota; Gammaproteobacteria; Pseudomonadales; Marinobacteraceae.
AUCGCAAUGGCAGGCGGCGCUUGAUACCCCCCGCUUGCAGCGUUGGGCAGAGGAGAACAUUGCGGCGCAUCGGGCGGUUCUGGAUCUCCUUGUGGCGC